GAUGAACGCUAGCUACAGGCUUAACACAUGCAAGUCGAGGGGAAACGAUAGAGAAAGCUUGCUUUUUCUAGGCGUCGACCGGCGCACGGGUGAGUAACGCGUAUCCAACCUGCCCAUCACUUGGGGAUAACCUUGCGAAAGUAAGACUAAUACCCAAUGAUAUCCGUCGAAGACAUCUGAAGUGGAUUAAAGAUUCAUCGGUGAUGGAUGGGGAUGCGUCUGAUUAGCUUGUUGGCGGGGUAACGGCCCACCAAGGCAACGAUCAGUAGGGGUUCUGAGAGGAAGGUCCCCCACAUUGGAACUGAGACACGGUCCAAACUCCUACGGGAGGCAGCAGUGAGGAAUAUUGGUCAAUGGGCAGAGCCUGAACCAGCCAAGUAGCGUGCAGGAUGACGGCCCUAUGGGUUGUAAACUGCUUUUAUAAGGGAAUAAAGUGAGUCUCGUGAGACUUUUUGCAUGUACCUUAUGAAUAAGGACCGGCUAAUUCCGUGCCAGCAGCC
Molecule: ribosomal RNA, 500 nt
Filed under: uncultured bacterium
Lineage: Bacteria
Description: bacterial SSU rRNA
Rfam family: Bacterial small subunit ribosomal RNA
Source: RNAcentral